This 253-nucleotide ribosomal RNA is filed under the name uncultured bacterium. RNAcentral's name for it is "partial 16S ribosomal RNA". It matches the Rfam family "Bacterial small subunit ribosomal RNA", at positions 524 to 776 of the family's 1533-position model. The record is from RNAcentral.
UACAUGGGGUGCAACCGUUGCUCGGAAUUAUUGGGCGUAAAGCGCGCGUAGGCGGUUAUCUAAGUCGGAUGUGAAGGCCCUCGGCUUAACUGAGGAAGUGCACCCGAAACUGGAUAGCUAGAGUACGAAAGAGGGUCGCGGAAUUCCCGGUGUAGAGGUGAAAUUCGUAGAUAUCGGGAGGAACACCGGUGGCGAAGGCGGCGACCUGGGUCGAGACUGACGCUGAGGCGCGAAAGCGUGGGGAGCAAACAGG